This is a long non-coding RNA of Acinonyx jubatus (cheetah), 687 nucleotides long. RefSeq lists it as uncharacterized. The record is from RefSeq and is a predicted model, not a curated record. The transcript has 2 exons. NCBI's taxonomy places the organism in Eukaryota, Metazoa, Chordata, Mammalia, Carnivora, Felidae.
GGAUAAGAGGCAGCCACAGCCCUGGGAAAGUUUCUGGGAAAGCAGAGGUUGCCGUUUGCAGGAGUGGAUGGGACUGUGCGCUGAUCACACACUGUAGCCACACUGGCUUUCUGCUGUUGGGGGCAGUCUGACCCCUCUAUGUAUGGCUGCUGACCUUGGUGCCACAACAUAAAGAAUUCAGAGAGCAUUGCACUGGACAGUCUUUGUCUUGGUCUCCAUGCCCUCAGAGAACAACAUUAAAAAACUGGAAGAAAUCCUAUAAUCACCUAGCUCCUCCCUGCAUCCCACUUACCUAGAUGACGAUAUGCAGAGUCAGCAAGUUUGUGGUGUUCAUUCAAAAAAAGAAAAACAUCCACUAUGUGCCAGACAUGUUGCUAUGCCUUGGGAUUUAGCAGUAUAUGGGGCAGAAAAAAAUCCUUGCUUGGUGGAAAAUGAUUAUAAACAAAGAAUACAGCCUGUGAUGGGUGUUAUCAAGGAAUUAAACAGGAGCUGUGAUGAUGGAGAGCAGGCCCAUUAAAUGAAGCAAUCAGAGAUGGUCUCAAUGAGGAGAUGACAUUUCAGCAUGAAGGUCAGGAAGGAACCAACUAGGCAGAAAGUGGGAGAAGACCAAGCAGUGGGAGCAGCAAGCGCAAAAAUUCAGGGGCAAGAAAGGACUUGACUUUUCCAAUAAAUUUCAAUAAACUUCAA